CAGCCGCCGCGGGAAUACGAAGGGGGCUAGCGUUGCUCGGAAUGACUUGGCGUAAAGGGCGCGUAGGCGGCGAUCAAAGUCAGGCGUGAAAGCCCUGGGCUCAACCUAGGAAUUGCAUUUGAUACUGUUUGGCUUGAGUUCGGGAGAGGUGAGUGGAAUUCCCAGUGUAGAGGUGAAAUUCGUAGAUAUUGGGAAGAACACCAGUGGCGAAGGCGGCUCACUGGACCGACACUGACGCUGAGGCGCGAAAGCGUGGGGAGCAAACAGGAUUAGAUAUCCCCGUAGUCCCUGUCUCUUAUAC
RNAcentral lists this ribosomal RNA (301 nucleotides) under uncultured bacterium. RNAcentral's name for it is "partial 16S ribosomal RNA". It matches the Rfam family "Bacterial small subunit ribosomal RNA", at positions 509 to 807 of the family's 1533-position model. The record is from RNAcentral.